Molecule: long non-coding RNA, 3241 nt
Filed under: Salmo salar (Atlantic salmon)
Lineage: Eukaryota; Metazoa; Chordata; Actinopteri; Salmoniformes; Salmonidae
Description: lncRNA (ENSSSAG00000082596.1)
Source: RNAcentral
GGUCUGAAUACUUAUGUAAAUCAUUUGCAAAAAAAAUUCUUAACCUGUUUAUGUCAUUAUGAGGCACUGUGUGUAGAUUGCUGAUAAUAUUUUGUAUUUAGUCCAUUUUCGAAUAUGGCUGUAACAUAAAAUGUGGAAAAAGUCAAGGGGUCUGAAUACUUUCCGAAUGCACUGAAUACCGCAUCUAAAGUCAAUCUGGUGGCCUCCCCUCAAUCUUCGCUAGCUAGCUAGCUAACGUUAUACUGCAUCUAAAGUCAAUCUGGUGGCCUCCCCUCAAUCUUCGAUAGCUAGCUAACGUUAUACUGCAUCUAAAGUCAAUCUGGUGGCCUCCCCUCAAUCUUCGCUAGCUAGCUAACGUUAUACUGCAUCUAAAGUUAAUCUGGUGGCCGCCCCUCAAUCUUCGCUAGCUAGCUAACGUUAUACUGCAUCUAAAGUUAAUCUGGCAACAUCAAAAAUAAUGACAAAAGGUUUUUCUUACUAAUUAUUUGCCUCCUUUUCAAUGUCAUUCUAUUUCCAAGCCACUAAUACACACUUUUAAUGAAAUCUUCACCAGCGCUCAUUGACGAUGCAUUGAGUAGAAUGCUCAGGUCGGGCAUCAGUCCAAAACAAAACGUUCAAAACAAUAUAAUGACGAAACAUGCGACCCAUGAAUAGAUUAACUCCAGCUAGGCUAGUUGAGAACAAGUCCUUUAUUUAACCAGGUAGGCUAGUUGAGAACAAGUCCUUUAUUUAACCAGGUAGGCUAGUUGAGAACAAGUCCUUUAUUUAACCAGGUAGGCUAGUUGAGAACAAGUUCUCAUUUGCAACUGCGACCUGGCCAAGAUAAAGCAAAGCAGUUUGACAACAUACAACAACACAGAGUUACACAUGGAGUAAAACAAACAUACAGUCAAUAAUACAGUAGAAAAAUAAGACUAUAUACAAUGUGAGCAAAUGAGGUGAGAUAAGGGAGGUAAAGGCAAUAAAUAGGCCAUGGUGGCAAAGUAAAUACAAUAUAGCAAGUAAAACACUGGAAUGGUAGAUUUGUAGUGGAAGAAAGUGCAAAGUACAAAUAGAAAUAAUGGGGUGCAAAGGAGCUAAAUAAAUAAAUACAGUAGGGGAAGAGGUAGUUGUUUGGGGCUAAAUUAUAGAUGGGCUGUGUACAGGUGCAGUGAUCUGGGAGCUGCUCUGACAGCUGGUGCUUAAAGCUAGUGAGGGAGAUAAGCGUUUCCAGUUUCAAUUUGUGGCAUAUACUUCUCCUAAUAUAUCAUACAUAACCUAAAGCAGCGUUAAAAAUUAUUCUUGUCCUUCCUUCUAACCUAUCGACUCUCUCUUCCCCCCCCCCACCAAUCGGUCCUUUAUGUCAUAACUCAACCCUUUAACUCUACAGAGUCUGAGAAACGAUCCUCUGAAAGCUCGGUUGAGAUUAUGUCCACAGCAGGACAAGCCUAUACGCUUCAAGGAGAAGUUCAUAACCGCACUCCCCGAUGGCACUCUGUCUGGCGGCUGUUGCUAAGCAGCGAGAGCUCUGCGGCGAAUAGAGAACGUCAGAGAGAAAGAAGUGGGGAAAAAAACUCCAGAAAGUUGUGGAUGAAGGUGCUGCUAGAUCCUAUAGAGCUUGUGGUCGCAGACUGGUCCAUCGCCAAAACGUUUAAAACCCAUGACUAGAGAGAGAGAGAGAGAGACUGUCAACACGUGCCUUCGUCCUUCGUCCCACUCAGAGCUGUCAACACGUGCCUUUGUCCUUCGUCCCACUCAGAGCUGUCAACACGUGCCUUCGUCCUUCGUCCCACUCAGAGCUGUCAACACGUGCCUUCGUCCUUCGUCCCACUCAGAGCUGUCAACACGUGCCUUCGUCCUUCGUCCCACUCAGAGCUGUCAACACGUGCCUUCGUCCUUCGUCCCACUCAGAGCUGUCAACACGUGCCUUCGUCCUUCGUCCACUCAGCCCUGUCAACACGUGCCUUCGUCCCACUCAGAGCUGUCAACACGGGCCUUCGUCCUUCGUCCCACUCAGAGCUGUCAACACGUGCCUUCGUCCUUCGUCCCACUCAGAGCUGUCAACACGUGCCUUCGUCCUUCGUCCCACUCAGAGCUGUCAACACGUGCCUUCGUCCUUCGUCCCACUCAGCCCUGUCAACACGUGCCUUCGUCCUUCGUCCACUCAGAGCUGUCAACACGGGCCUUCGUCCUUCGUCCACUCAGCUUUGUCAACACGUGCCUUUGUCCUUCGUCCACUCAGAGCUGUCAACACGUGCCUUCGUCCACUCCUCCCUGUCAACACGUGCCUUCGUCCUUCGUCCACUCAGCCUGUCAACAGUAAUGAAUGAGGUGAAAAGUGUAUCGAUAGACCUGCAUUGUUAUUAUUAGAAGCUUGGGUCGUUUUUCUAAAUAUCAAGGAAUUUCAAUUUCUCUGUUCAUAGGAGCAACAAGGUGAAUUUGUUAACGAGGCAGAAAUAAUGUGGUGAGACUCGAGUUUCACCAUCAGCUGGAAGACGGUGUCCCGAACUGGCUCAGUGUCAUUGGUGGAAAGGGAGAAGGAGAGGCGGACCCUAACUGGCUCAGUGUCAUUGGUGGAAAGGGAGAAGGAGAGGCGGACCCUAACUGGGUCAGUGCCAUUGGUGGAAAGGGAGAACGAGAGGCGGACCCGAACUGGGUCAGUGUCAUUGGUGGAAAGGGAGAACGAGAGGCGGACCCGAACUGGGUCAGUGUCAUUGGUGGAAAGGGAGAACGAGAGGCGGACCCUAACUGGGUCAGUGUCAUUGGUGGAAAGGGAGAACGAGAGGCGGACCCUAACUGGCUCAGUGCCAUUGGUGGAAAGGGAGAACGAGAGGCGGACCCUAACUGGGUCAGUGUCAUUGGUGGAAAGGGAGAACGAGAGGCGGACCCUAACUGGCUCAGUGUCAUUGGUGGAAAGGGAGAACGAGAGGCGGACCCUAACUGGGUCAGUGCCAUUGGUGGAAAGGGAGAACGAGAGGCGGACCCUAACUGGCUCAGUGCCAUUGGAGGAAAGGGAGAACGAGAGGCGGACCCUAACUGGGUCAGUGUCAUUGGAGGAAAGGGAGAAGGAGAGGCGGGCCCUAACACGGCCAACGGUAGUAGAGGCUCAGAGAGACAGGCAAACCCACAGCAGUAGAGACUCAGAGGAGAGACAGGCAAACCCACAGUAGUAGAGGCUCAGAGGAGAGACAGGCAAACUCACAGUAGUAGAGGCUCAGAGGAGAGACAGGCAAACCCACAGUAGUAGAGGCUCAGAGGAGAG